This 489-nucleotide ribosomal RNA is filed under the name uncultured bacterium. Its description in RNAcentral is "bacterial SSU rRNA". It matches the Rfam family "Bacterial small subunit ribosomal RNA", at positions 28 to 523 of the family's 1533-position model. The record is from RNAcentral.
GAUGAACGCUAGCGGCAGGCUUAAUACAUGCAAGUCGAGGGGCAUCAAGGUACACGAAAGUGUAUUGUUGGCGACCGGCGGACGGGUGAGUAAUAGGUAGGUAACCUACCUCAUACUGAGGCAUAGCUGGGAGAAAUUCCAGGUAAUUCCUCAUGAGGUUAUAUGACACAUGUGAUAUAAUCAAAGGUAUCGCAAGGUACUGGUAUGAGAUGGGCUUACUGACCAUUAGCUAGUUGGUGAGAUAAGAGCUCACCAAGGCGAAGAUGGUUAGGGGUUUUGAGAGAGAGAUCCCCCACAUUGGAACUGAGAUACGGUCCAGACUCCUACGGGAGGCAGCAGUAGGGAAUAUUGGGCAAUGGGCGAAGCCUGACGCAGCCAUGCCGCGUGAAUGAUGAAGGUCUUAGGAUUGUAAAAUUCUUUCACCGGGGACGACAAUGACGGUACCCGGAGAAGAAGCCCCGGCUAACUUCGUGCCAGCAGCCGCGGUAA